Molecule: ribosomal RNA, 1404 nt
Filed under: Coxiella burnetii
Lineage: Bacteria; Pseudomonadati; Pseudomonadota; Gammaproteobacteria; Legionellales; Coxiellaceae
Also listed under: 1 other name
Description: partial 23S ribosomal RNA
Rfam family: Bacterial large subunit ribosomal RNA
Source: RNAcentral
GUGUUUUUCGAUAUCAUUUAACUUCAGAAAAAAGUUAAAAAUUGGUAUUGAAACAAGACCAUCUUUUUCCAUCACGUUAAAUCAAAGAGAUUUACCUCUCUUAAAAGAGAUACAUUCGUUUUUUGAAUGUGGAGCAAUUAGAUUUUCACGAGGGGAUCGUACGUAUAAAUAUGAAGUCCGUUCCGUAAAAGAUCUUGUGAAGCGAAUAAUUCCACACUUCGAUAACUAUCCUCUUAGAGGAGGUAAACAAAAAGAUUUUCGAUAUUUUUCUGAAAUCUGUAAAAAAAUACAUACCAAUUUUCAUUUAAAUAAACAACAUUUAAUUGAAAUAAUAAAAAUGGCUUAUCUGAUGAAUCCAUCAGGUAAACGUAGGCAUGAAAUAAAUGAUCUCCUAAGGUUGCUUGGUGAGAAAAUGGUAUAGUCUACUCCCUAUGGAAACAUAGGAAAGAGUGAAGUUCCGACCUGCACGAAUGGCGUAACGAUAGCCACGCUGUCUCCACCCAAGACUCAGUGAAAUUGAAAUCGCUGUGAAGAUGCAGCGUACCCGCGGCUAGACGGAAAGACCCCGUGAACCUUUACUACAGCUUUACACUGAACUUUGAAUAUGCCUGUGUAGGAUAGGUGGGAGGCUUUGAAGCUGGAGCGCUAGCUCCAGUGGAGCCAACCUUGAAAUACCACCCUGGCGUGUUUGAGGUUCUAACCCUGUCCCGUAAUCCGGGUCGGGAACAGUGUAUGGUGGGUAGUUUGACUGGGGCGGUCUCCUCCAAAAGAGUAACGGAGGAGUACAAAGGUACCCUCAGCACGGUCGGAAAUCGUGCAUUGUGUGCAAAGGCAUAAGGGUGCUUGACUGCGAGACUGACAAGUCGAGCAGGUACGAAAGUAGGUCUUAGUGAUCCGGUGGUCCUUUAUGGAAGGGCCAUCGCUCAACGGAUAAAAGGUACUCCGGGGAUAACAGGCUGAUACCACCCAAGAGUUCAUAUCGACGGUGGUGUUUGGCACCUCGAUGUCGGCUCAUCACAUCCUGGGGCUGUAGCCGGUCCCAAGGGCAUGGCUGUUCGCCAUUUAAAGUGGUACGUGAGCUGGGUUUAGAACGUCGUGAGACAGUUCGGUCCCUAUCUGCCGUGGGCGUUGGAGAUUUGAGAGGAGCUGCUCCUAGUACGAGAGGACCGGAGUGGACGUACCUCUGGUGUUCCGGUUGUCACGCCAGUGGCAUUGCCGGGUAGCUAAGUACGGACGGGAUAACCGCUGAAAGCAUCUAAGCGGGAAGCCCCCCUCAAGAUGAGAUCUCCCGGACCUUUAAGGUCCCUAAAGAUUCGUUGAAGACGACAACGUUGAUAGGCAGGGUGUGGAAGCUCAGUAAUGAGUGAAGCUAACCUGUACUAAUUAAUCGUGCGACUUGACUAU